GUGAAUCAUCAAAUCUUUGAACGCAAAUUGCACUCUCUGGUAUUCCGGAGAGUAUGCCAGUUUGAGGGUCAGUUUACUUAAAAACCGUUGUGGUUGCUGCCUUUCGUGGUGGAGCACCGGAUGUGGGUCGUCUUGCCUUCGGUUAAGUGAUCUAAAAUUUUGCAUUAUUUUUUAGAACGUAUCUAAAUGAUUUUACGUACGUCUGUGAUAGCGAAUACUAUGUUCGGUCAUCAUCAUGAUACGA
This 244-nucleotide unclassified non-coding RNA is filed under the name Glomus sp. RNAcentral's name for it is "partial contains 5.8S ribosomal RNA and internal transcribed spacer 2". The stretch from base 1 to 71 matches the Rfam family "5.8S ribosomal RNA", at positions 84 to 154 of the family's 154-position model. Lineage: Eukaryota; Fungi; Glomeromycota; Glomeromycetes; Glomerales; Glomeraceae. The record is from RNAcentral.